GUCCACGCCGUAAACGAUGUAUGCUGGACCGGUGCGGUUUUGACGCCGUAUCGGUCGUAGGAAAACCGUUAAGCAUACCGCCUGGGGAGUACGGUCGCAAGGCUAAAACUCAAAUGAAUUGACGGGGGCUCACACAAGCGGUGGUGCAUGUUUGCUUAAUUCGAGGCAACGCGAAGAACCUUACCUGGGUUUGACAUGCUGGUAUUAACUCUAUGAAAGUAGAGCCACAGUCGCAAGACCGGAACCAGCACAGGUGCUGCAUGGCUGUCGU
RNAcentral lists this ribosomal RNA (271 nucleotides) under uncultured bacterium. Its description in RNAcentral is "partial 16S ribosomal RNA". It matches the Rfam family "Bacterial small subunit ribosomal RNA", at positions 793 to 1055 of the family's 1533-position model. The record is from RNAcentral.